This 506-nucleotide ribosomal RNA is filed under the name uncultured bacterium. Its description in RNAcentral is "partial 16S ribosomal RNA". It matches the Rfam family "Bacterial small subunit ribosomal RNA", at positions 28 to 523 of the family's 1533-position model. The record is from RNAcentral.
GAUGAACGCUAGCUACAGGCUUAACACAUGCAAGUCGAGGGGUAACGAGAGGAAAGCUUGCUUUCCUUGUCGACGACCGGCGCACGGGUGAGUAACGCGUAUCCAACCUGCCCCCAACUAGGGAAUAACCUUGCGAAAGUAAGACUAAUACCCUAUAAUUUCCUCAGAUGCCAUCUGACGAGGAAUAAAGAUUUAUCGGUUGUGGAUGGGGAUGCGUCUGAUUAGCUUGUUGGCGGGGUAACGGCCCACCAAGACAACGAUCAGUAGGGGUUUUGAGAGGAAGGUCCCCCACAUUGGAACUGAGACACGGUCCAAACUCCUACGGGAGGCAGCAGUGAGGAAUAUUGGUCAAUGGGCGGAAGCCUGAACCAGCCAAGUAGCGUGCAGGAUGACGGCCCUAUGGGUUGUAAACUGCUUUUAUACAGGAAUAAAGUUAGCCACGUGUGGUUAUUUGUAGGUACUGUAUGAAUAAGGACCGGCUAAUUCCGUGCCAGCCGCCGCCGUAA